Molecule: ribosomal RNA, 1112 nt
Filed under: Salmonella enterica subsp. enterica serovar Cerro str. CFSAN001692
Lineage: Bacteria; Pseudomonadati; Pseudomonadota; Gammaproteobacteria; Enterobacterales; Enterobacteriaceae
Description: bacterial LSU rRNA
Rfam family: Bacterial large subunit ribosomal RNA
Source: RNAcentral
GAAUGGGGAAACCCAGUGUGACUCGUCACACUAUCAUUAACUGAAUCCAUAGGUUAAUGAGGCGAACCGGGGGAACUGAAACAUCUAAGUACCCCGAGGAAAAGAAAUCAACCGAGAUUCCCCCAGUAGCGGCGAGCGAACGGGGAGGAGCCCAGAGCCUGAAUCAGCAUGUGUGUUAGUGGAAGCGUCUGGAAAGGCGCGCGAUACAGGGUGACAGCCCCGUACACAAAAGCGCAUGUGCUGUGAGCUCGAUGAGUAGGGCGGGACACGUGGUAUCCUGUCUGAAUAUGGGGGGACCAUCCUCCAAGGCUAAAUACUCCUGACUGACCGAUAGUGAACCAGUACCGUGAGGGAAAGGCGAAAAGAACCCCGGCGAGGGGAGUGAAAAAGAACCUGAAACCGUGUACGUACAAGCAGUGGGAGCACCCUUUUGGGUGUGACUGCGUACCUUUUGUAUAAUGGGUCAGCGACUUAUAUUCUGUAGCAAGGUUAACCGAAUAGGGGAGCCGAGGGAAACCGAGUCUUAAUUGGGCGUUAAGUUGCAGGGUAUAGACCCGAAACCCGGUGAUCUAGCCAUGGGCAGGUUGAAGGUUGGGUAACACUAACUGGAGGACCGAACCGACUAAUGUUGAAAAAUUAGCGGAUGACCUGUGGCUGGGGGUGAAAGGCCAAUCAAACCGGGAGAUAGCUGGUUCUCCCCGAAAGCUAUUUAGGUAGCGCCUCGUGAAUUCAUCUCCGGGGGUAGAGCACUGUUUCGGCUAGGGGGCCAUCCCGGCUUACCAACCCGAUGCAAACUGCGAAUACCGGAGAAUGUUAUCACGGGAGACACACGGCGGGUGCUAACGUCCGUCGUGAAGAGGGAAACAACCCAGACCGCCAGCUAAGGUCCCAAAGUCAUGGUUAAGUGGGAAACGAUGUGGGAAGGCCCAGACAGCCAGGAUGUUGGCUUAGAAGCAGCCAUCAUUUAAAGAAAGCGUAAUAGCUCACUGGUCGAGUCGGCCUGCGCGGAAGAUGUAACGGGGCUAAACCAUGCACCGAAGCUGCGGCAGCGACACUAUGUGUUGUUGGGUAGGGGAGCGUUCUGUAAGCCUGUGAAGGUGUGCUGUGAGGCA